Molecule: unclassified non-coding RNA, 502 nt
Filed under: uncultured Diversispora
Lineage: Eukaryota; Fungi; Glomeromycota; Glomeromycetes; Diversisporales; Diversisporaceae
Description: SSU rRNA
Rfam family: Eukaryotic small subunit ribosomal RNA
Source: RNAcentral
CCAAUAGCGUAUAUUAAAGUUGUUGCAGUUAAAAAGCUCGUAGUUGAACUUCGGGGUUCACCCAUUGGUCAGGCUUAAUUGUCUGUACUGGUGAGAUGAGUCUCUACCUUCUGAGGAACUUUCAUGCCAUUUGUUUGGUGUGAUUGGAAAUCAGGACUGUUACUUUGAAAAAAUUAGAGUGUUUAAAGCAGGCUAACGUCUGAAUACAUUAGCAUGGAAUAAUGAAAUAGGACGGAUUGAUUCUAUUUCGUUGGUUUCUAGGGUCACCGUAAUGAUUAAUAGGGAUAGUUGGGGGCAUUAGUAUUCAAUUGUCAGAGGUGAAAUUCUUGGAUUUAUUGAAGACUAACUACUGCGAAAGCAUUUGCCAAGGAUGUUUUCAUUAAUCAAGAACGAAAGUUAGGGGAUCGAAGACGAUCAGAUACCGUCGUAGUCUUAACCAUAAACUAUGCCGACUAGGGAUCGGACGAAGUUAAUUUUAUAAUGACGCGUUCGGCACCUUACG